Acanthosepion pharaonis is the source of this 92-nucleotide non-coding RNA. The record is from the annotation of a GenBank genome assembly. NCBI's taxonomy places the organism in Eukaryota, Metazoa, Mollusca, Cephalopoda, Sepiida, Sepiidae.
UUACGGCCAUAUCACCUUGAAGCACUGGUUCUAAUCCGAUCCCCGAAGUUAAGCAACGUUGAAUCUGGACAGUACCUAGAUGGGUGACCGCU